This 253-nucleotide ribosomal RNA is filed under the name uncultured bacterium. RNAcentral's name for it is "partial 16S ribosomal RNA". It matches the Rfam family "Bacterial small subunit ribosomal RNA", at positions 524 to 776 of the family's 1533-position model. The record is from RNAcentral.
UACGAAGGGGGCUAGCGUUGCUCGGAAUCACUGGGCGUAAAGCGCACGUAGGCGGGUUCUUAAGUCAGGGGUGAAAUCCUGGAGCUCAACUCCAGAACUGCCUUUGAUACUGGGAAUCUCGAGUCCGGGAGAGGUGAGUGGAACUGCGAGUGUAGAGGUGAAAUUCGUAGAUAUUCGCAAGAACACCAGUGGCGAAGGCGGCUCACUGGCCCGGUACUGACGCUGAGGAGCGAAAGCGUGGGGAGCGAACAGG